UCGGGGUAACAGCAGCCUCCCGGUCAGGCUUUACGGCCCAAGCGUUGC
The submitters of this non-coding RNA (48 nucleotides) gave its source as unclassified sequences. The record is from Rfam.